AGAGUUUGAUCAUGGCUCAGGAUGAACGCUAGCUACAGGCUUAACACAUGCAAGUCGAGGGGCAUCAGGGUGUAGCAAUACACCGCUGGCGACCGGCGCACGGGUGAGUAACACGUAUCCAACCUGCCCUUUACUCGGGGAUAGCCUUUCGAAAGAAAGAUUAAUACCCGAUGGUAUAACAUGACCUCCUGGUUUUGUUAUUAAAGAAUUUCGGUAGAGGAUGGGGAUGCGUUCCAUUAGGCAGUUGGCGGGGUAACGGCCACCAAACUUCGAUGGAUAGGGGUUCUGAGAGGAAGGUCCCCACAUUGGAACUGAGACACGGUCCAAACUCCGUACGGGAGGCA
Molecule: ribosomal RNA, 344 nt
Filed under: uncultured bacterium
Lineage: Bacteria
Description: bacterial SSU rRNA
Rfam family: Bacterial small subunit ribosomal RNA
Source: RNAcentral